AUUGAACGCUGGCGGCAUGCCUAACACAUGCAAGUCGAACGGCAGCGCGGGUAGCUUGCUACCUGGCGGCGAGUGGCGGACGGGUGAGUAAUAUGUAGGAAUCUACCUAGAGGAGCGGGAUAACUUGGGGAAACUCAAGCUAAUACCACAUAAUCCCCACGGGGGAAAGCAGGGGACCUUCGGGCCUUGCGCCUUAUGAUGAGCCUACAUCGGAUUAGCUUGUUGGUGGGGUAAAGGCCUACCAAGGCGACGAUCCGUAGCUGGUCUGAGAGGAUGAUAAGCCACGAUGGAACUGAGACACGGUACAGACUCCUACGGGAGGCAGCAGUGGGGAAUAUUGGACAAUGGGGGGAACCCUGAUCCAGCAAUGCCGCGUGUGUGAAGAAGGCCUUAGGGUUGUAAAGCACUUUCAGUGGAGAGGAAGUUGCGUGUGCUAAUAUCAUACGUAAUUGACGUUACCCACAGAAGAAGCACCGGCUAACUCUGUGCCAGCAGCCGCCGUAA
This 504-nucleotide ribosomal RNA is filed under the name uncultured bacterium. RNAcentral's name for it is "partial 16S ribosomal RNA". It matches the Rfam family "Bacterial small subunit ribosomal RNA", at positions 30 to 523 of the family's 1533-position model. The record is from RNAcentral.